Molecule: non-coding RNA, 2508 nt
Organism: Nicotiana tabacum (common tobacco)
Lineage: Eukaryota; Viridiplantae; Streptophyta; Magnoliopsida; Solanales; Solanaceae
Source: RefSeq, a predicted model, not a curated record
UGCAUUUGUAUAUAAACCCACCAAACUCCUUUUCCUCUACCAAUGAGGGACAAUCUCAUUAAAAAGAGAGGGAAACUUAAAAUUUUACUCAAAAUUUCCCUCCAUUUCCCAUUCAUCCUCUUUUUAAUACCUUUCCAUAUUAAAAAGAAACUCAACAAUAACAUGAGAGGAGAUAAGGGUGUUGUUGCUAUUUCUGAACUUGUGAAGCACUCGCCAAUGUUGGAGGAUUUAAGGUGUUCAUCUAUAAUGAUUGGAAGGUGUAUACUCUUUUUCACAAGGAGUUGGAGUAUGCACCAGCUUAAUGAACUUUGAUUGGCAUGAUAAGAUGUUCACUGAUGAAGCUGGAAUUGUGUUGAGAUAAGUCAUAUCAAGUUUGAAGUAGAUACUCUUCGUAAUAAGGCGAUAUGAUCCUUUUUGAAACAAUAAUUGGUCAUCUACUUACAUUUGACGUUUCAUCUUACUAUGAAUUCUGAGAUUUAUAAAACAUUAGUAUUUGAAAUGCCUCUCUGUAGUGCCAUUAUGAUUGAUGAGAUAGUGUCAUUUCAAUAAUGUGCUUUGUCUUUUUCCCUUUGCGAUCACAUGUGAAUGCCAAUAUUGAUUUGGACAAAUAGGAUGACAACUAAGAUAAGAGUGCACAUUUACUCUUAGUACACUCAUGUUCUACGCUUCAUAUUCUGAAAUUUGGUAAAAGAACUACUGCAACAGGUUCCUAAAAUCACACAAAUUCUUCCAUGCUGCCUUUUAAAAUGCAGAAAGAGGAAAUUAUCAGUAGACAGGCUAAAUCAACUAUCAUUCUUAUGCGCUUUCAUUAGCCUAAUAAUUCAAGCAUUUAGGAACUCUUUAAAAAGUUUAUCCUCUUCUACAAUUUUUUUGCGCAAUUUACCAAAGAAGAUUCCCAUAUAUUCUUCUGCAGUUCUGUUUUACCACAAGCAUAGAUGCCCUUCAUUGUCUGGACUAUGCAGUUCUAUCGGGCCUGCUAAUUUCCUAAUUCAUUUGGAGUCUAAGUAAAUAAUUCUCCCACUUAGAGAAUUAACAACUUCUAACUGCAACAUCCAUCUACUCCAUUGCAUGCUCCUUUCUAUUUGCUUCCAAUAUCUUCCUGCUACUGUACUUAUGCUUAGCAGAAUUUACGCUCCGCUGGUAUGUGUGGCGUAAUAAGCUCUGUGGAUUUUCACCUAAGUGUGAUACUUUGUAAGUCUUACAAAAUACCCAGCCAUAUAGUAUGUGACAUCUUUUAUAACAAUUCCUUCUUCAUUUCUCUCAUGUUCCUAGUAAUUUCAUUUAAUAAGUACUUGUACUUUCAACUACUUUCUGCUGCUCAUUAAGUUUAUAUGGGUAAAUCAGUUGGUCUUUCUUAACUGGAACCAUGUAAACAUCAUUUAUGGUACUAGAUGUAUAGCCAAAGUUUUCUCCUUUAAUUCCUAUAUCCGUAGCUGGGUAUGUAAUAUAUUGUUUCUGCAGUUUUUUAAACAAAAUACUCAGUCUCUUAGGUAGAGUUUUUUUCACUCACAUUGGAUAUAACUUAGGAGAAAAAUAUGUUGAAAUGAAUUUUUGAGCAAUUUUGAUGAACUUUAUAUGAUCGAAUAGAAUGAUAAAAAUAGAACAAAAGAAAAAGAAGAAUGUCUCUAGAAACCAAGAUCUGCAGGUGGAAAUUUAUAACUUCUAGAGAUCGUUCAUCUAGCAAGCACUCCACAUUCUUUUUGGCCAAUUUUGGCUCUCCUAUAGAACUUGUACAUACUGCUGAAAUUAUUCUCAUUGUAUACCCUUUGGAUAAGUUGAUAUAUAUCUGAUUUUCUAGGAAUAGCAACUUUAUAUGCACUUUUAUCUGGAGUAUAGACCUAUUAAAUUUUGAUAUAUUUCCUCUCAAUUUCCAUUGUAAAGAAUGUGCAUGCAGUAUGAGCUAAAGUACUAACAUUAGUUUUAGUGAACACAGGAAUUCAAGGCUGCUUUUGCUCGCUGUCUCCUCAAAUACCAGCUCAUCAACUACUAAGAUUUUGUCUCUAUUAUUGCAUGUACCUGCAAGAAGUAUAGAAUUAACCUCCACAAAUGUCAACUGUGCUACUUUGACAAUCUCUAGGCAGACUUAUGCAAAUGGCAAUGUUUUAGAUAUAUGUUUUCUCAAUUUCACCAACUCUAUAUAUGCACUACUGUUUUGAAUAUAAACUAACACUCUUUUGAAGGAACUUAUUUUCAAGAUACCUGCGGAUGUCUGGUACAUCAAAAUCUCCCUAUGUUGUGGUUUUUGGACUGCAGAAAAAUGACUAUUAAGCUUGGAAUUUAGCUCCAGCUCAUUGCUGAGGAUGGGUUACUUAAAAGAUACAAACUGUACUUAUAUUUUGGGGUAUUAUAUGUCUAAUGCUUGAAGAUGGUUUUACCAGACAAUAUACUUGUGCCUUCUGCACAUGUUGUAAAUAUGUUGAAGUAUGCUACUACAUCUUGUGCUCAAUCAACUUAGAUGCUUAAUGUUGGUAAUUUAACCAAGUAACUGUUAGUGUUAUGUGAUGAAAA